CCUACGGGAGGCAGCAGUAGGGAAUUUUGCGCAAUGGGCGCAAGCCUGACGCAGCAACACCGCGUGAAUGUUAAGCCCUUCGGGGUGUAAAGUUCUGUCAAUAGGGACGAAUUUUGACUGUACCUAUAAAUGAAUCAACGGCUAACGCCGUGCCAGCAGCCGCGGUAAUACGGGGGGUGCAAGCGUUGUCCGGAAUCAUUGGGCGUAAAGCGUUCGUAGGCGGCAAGGUAAGUCUGAUGUUAAAGCCCGGGGCUCAACUCCGGUUCGGCAUUGGAUACUAUCUAGCUAGAGAGUAGUAGAGGUAAGCGGAAUGCCUGGUGUAGCGGUGAAAUGCGUAGAGAUCAGGAGGAACAUCGGUGGCGAAAGCGGUUUACUGGACCAUUAUUGACGCUGAGGAACGAAAGCGAGGGGAGCAAAUGGAAUUAGAUACCCCUGUAGUC
This 440-nucleotide ribosomal RNA is filed under the name uncultured bacterium. RNAcentral describes it as "partial 16S ribosomal RNA". It matches the Rfam family "Bacterial small subunit ribosomal RNA", at positions 338 to 795 of the family's 1533-position model. The record is from RNAcentral.